CUGAGUACGGCGGAACACGUGAAAUUCCGUCGGAAUCCGGGAGGACCAUCUCCCAAGGCUAAAUACUCCCUAGUGACCGAUAGUGAACCAGUACCGUGAGGGAAAGGUGAAAAGCACCCCGGAAGGGGAGUGAAACAGUUCCUGAAACCGUGUGCCUACAAGUAGUUAGAGCCCGUUAAUGGGUGAUAGCGUGCCUUUUGUAGAAUGAACCGGCGAGUUACGAUUUGUUGCAAGGUUAAGCGGAAAAAGCGGAGCCGUAGCGAAAGCGAGUCUGAAUAGGGCGCAUAAGUAACAGGUCGUAGACCCGAAACCAGGUGAUCUACCCAUGUCCAGGAUGAAGGUAAGGUAAUACUUACUGGAGGUCCGAACCCACGCACGUUGAAAAGUGCGGGGAUGAGGUGUGGGUAGCGGAGAAAUUCCAAUCGAACUUGGAGAUAGCUGGUUCUCUCCGAAAUAGCUUUAGGGCUAGCCUCGAGGUAAAGAGUCAUGGAGGUAGAGCACUGUUUGGACUAGGGGCCCUUCUCGGGUUACCGAAUUCAGAUAAACUCCGAAUGCCAUGUACUUAUACUCGGGAGUCAGACUGCGAGUGAUAAGAUCCGUAGUCGAAAGGGAAACAGCCCAGACCACCAGUUAAGGUCCCCAAAUAUAUGUUAAGUGGAAAAGGAUGUGGGGUUGCUUAGACAACCAGGAUGUUGGCUUAGAAGCAGCCACCAUUGAAAGAGUGCGUAAUAGCUCACUGGUCGAGUGACCCCGCGCCGAAAAUGUACCGGGGCUAAACAUAUUACCGAAACUGUGGAUGAACCUCUUUAGAGGUUCGUGGUAGGAGAGCGUUCUAAGGGCGGUGAAGUCAGACCGGAAGGACUGGUGGAGCGCUUAGAAGUGAGAAUGCCGGUAUGAGUAGCGAAAGAAGGGUGAGAAUCCCUUCCACCGAAUAUCUAAGGUUUCCUGAGGAAGGCUCGUCCGCUCAGGGUUAGUCGGGACCUAAGCCGAGGCCGAUAGGCGUAGGCGAUGGACAACAGGUAGAGAUUCCUGUACCAGUGCUAAUUGUUUAACCGAUGGGGUGAC
Molecule: ribosomal RNA, 1065 nt
Filed under: Listeria monocytogenes
Lineage: Bacteria; Bacillati; Bacillota; Bacilli; Caryophanales; Listeriaceae
Description: partial 23S ribosomal RNA
Rfam family: Bacterial large subunit ribosomal RNA
Source: RNAcentral